CCCUUAGAUGUCCGGGGCCGCACGCGCGCUAUAAUGGAUGAAUCAACGCGUCAUCCUGGCCCGAAAGGGUUGGGGAACCGCUGAACCUCAUCCGUGGUUGGGAUUGGGGUUUGUAAUUAUUCCCCAUGAACUAGGAAUUCCCAGUAAGCGCGAGUCAUAAGCUCGCGUUGAUUACGUCCCUGCCCUUUGUACACACCGCCCGUCGCUACUACCGAUUGGAUGGUUUAGUGAGAUCCUCGGAUUGGUCACGGCACGGUGGCAACACUGCGUCGGUGUGCCGAGAAGACGAUCAAACUUGAUCAUCUAGAGGAAGUAAAAGUCGUAACA
This 327-nucleotide ribosomal RNA is filed under the name uncultured eukaryote. RNAcentral's name for it is "partial 18S ribosomal RNA". It matches the Rfam family "Eukaryotic small subunit ribosomal RNA", at positions 1470 to 1796 of the family's 1831-position model. The record is from RNAcentral.